Long non-coding RNA from Arabidopsis lyrata subsp. lyrata, 924 nucleotides. RefSeq lists it as uncharacterized. The transcript has 3 exons. The record is from RefSeq and is a predicted model, not a curated record. Lineage: Eukaryota; Viridiplantae; Streptophyta; Magnoliopsida; Brassicales; Brassicaceae.
UAAUAGCACAUACAAUUUUUAAAACGUUACCAUAGAGGAGUUAACCCUAAUAAUUAUUUAGUGCCCGCCUCUAUUUUUCAUGGCCGCCAAUGUUUUUUGGUACAAAAAUUUUUGACUUAUUUUUAUCUGUGAACUAAAAGACAUUUCGGUGGCUGCUCCUUAACUAGGUGAAAUGGAGAGAAACAAGAUAGAGAGCAUAUGAAAACAUCGAUUAUCUUCUACUUGAGCGAAAAUCAAUUGAGUGAAUCAAUUUCUCGUUUGCACUUCCACAUCAUUUACCCAUCGCCGGUUCCUUUUCCGCUUCAUCUACCACUUCCCAAUCUUUUUCUUUCACCAAAUCCUCAAACCCUAGUUCCAGAUUUGGCUGUUUAGGAUCCACCAUUUCGGAUCCUGCUUCGUCCGCAACUUCACCGGCCUCUUAACCUGCGCUUCAAUCGACUGUUACACCAUCAUCUCUGUUCGGAGCCUCUUCUUCCUCAUAUCCACUUUCAUCUCUCUUCGAAGCAGCGCCAGCAAGUGCUUUCAAGUCUUGGUAUCUUGAUUUUGUUUUUUUAAAUAUGAGAGUUCUUAAGGUCGCUCCUACUUCUCAUCAUAUGGUUUAUGCAGAUUCAAUUUUGGGCGCUAGAGAUGGCGGUGGUUGUUAGUCUCAGUUUUGGAGAAUUAUCUCUACUAGAGAAUUGAUUAGGUUUCUUCCUCAUACUCGUUCCUCAAGCUCUUGGCAAAGGAGGAAGCUAAUAAUGAUGAUGAUAUCGGAGAAGACGUUUCAAAGAUUGAGGUCCAAGCGGUCUAAGGGUGUGAAGAAUUGAGAAGUUAAAAACAAGAGUAGUAUGAAAUUUAUCUUUAAUUUGUACUUUUACUUUGUAAUAUAAGUCUUUUGUAUAUGAUUUUCAUAUAAAUGUAAUAAAAUAUGACAUUUUAUUUUAA